UCCAAUCAGAACUCACACUGCGCUGAGUGGGCGGAGCCACAGCGGGGUCUAUUUACCUUUUUGGCCGCCUGCUCCUCUUCCACACCGUCCCCCACUACAACAUACACUACUUUCCUGCCAAACCUUUGCAUUAUGCGCUCAAAGCAACUCUCUUUUCCUGCAAAUAAACAAGAAGGAGGGAGGGGGGUGGUCAAAAAAAAAGCUCAAAGGUCAUUUACCUGGCCGGCUGCAUGCUCUUCAUCCUUGCCAUCGCCAAUCACAACAUAUGUAAUGUUAGUGCCGAAGCGGGAGACUAUACGCUCAAAACAGCUCUCUUUGCCUGGGGGAUGAAAAAUGCCUUUCACAGGGUUUCAUUUCUCAAAACGUUUAGGCUGGGAUCUGUUUUGUUUCAACAACAGUAUGAUGUGAAGUUGUUACCAUAGCGACCAAUGUACAAUUGUGGCGUGUGUGUCUUGCCUAUUUUUGUCGCACUGUAGAUGUUCUCUAUGGGGAACACGGAACCGAGACUGUACAGGAGAACUUUAGCGAGCGCCGGUAUGAGCUGCGUCGUGGUCACCAGCACGUUGACGCAGUUGCUCCUGCGAGGGGGUACAGCAGCUAAGUAAAAGCGAGCACUUUUUGAAAUGUUUCAGUCCAGAACUAUGAGACACACCUGGAGCUGAUGAUGGACAGCGACUUGAGGGCGUGAGUGAGCCAGGAGUCGGUGAGAGCCUCUACCUCAGCUCGGAGCUGCAGCCAGGCAUCCCUCUUUGCAGGACCCAGCAGACCUGCGAGGCAGCAUCGACUCAUUAAAACCUCAGGAUCAUGUGCGGCGUUUGUGCAGGUGCUAAAGCCUCCCAUGCCCCGCAUCCCUCACCCAUCUGAUUGGCUUACCCCCUACAUUGUUUUUGUACGUGCUAUACAACUCUUUGACCCGUCGGUAUCGGAAGGCCAGCUUCCUCAUCCAGUCGACGCCGCCGCGGACGCCCGUAGCGAGGCACAGGUUGGCGCUGGUCGCAGCUGCAUGGAAGCCAUCAGUUGCAAAACUGAGCCUGUGAGCAAAGAAUGGAAGACAAUGAUGGUCUCAUCCAGAUCCCACACAAAAACCCUCUGCAAAGACACAGAAGGCAUCAGCAGUGCACCCCCAUGAAAGGAAAUAGCGAGCAUAAAAAACACUAGUAAGUGCUCUUUGUUUUUUGUUGUUGUUGUUCAUGUUACCUCCAGGUCACUAUCUGGGGGAGGAGAAGGGUUGUUCUUGCGGCUCCUCCCUCGCGACUUGGACCCGCCACUCCGACACGCUCGGUCAUCCAGGUCCUUGAUGGGCGUGGAGGGCCUCUGCACCGCAUCAAAGUCCCCUGAGAGGGGGAGAGAGGACGGGGAGAGCAGGGGGGGGUGGACAGACACAAAGAAGACUCGGGGAGUUCAAGCAGGACAUGAGACGUCGUCUAAGGGAAGAACUGAGAGCGAGAUACACUCUCAUAAGAGAAGUCUGUACGUGUACUAGAUGGGAUAACUGCACUUUUUUUUUUUUUUUGCAGCUUCUGAAAGUGAAACCAACACCAACCUGGAUGGAGUUCUGCAGCCUGGCCCGUCAUAGCAGGGGCGGGGUCUUGUAGCUGGUAGGCUGCAGUGGUGCCGGUCCCGUCCACGCUGCCAGAUGUCAUAUACGUCCCGUACGUGGAGGCGGAAUAAUACUGGGCAUACUGGUUUUGGCCAAAGGUUGUGUAUGAGGGAUAAUCCUGCAAAGAGAGUCGGAUGUUUUCUGGAUGGACUCCAACCUCCUUCCCUCGCUCUUAUCUCUUUACUCCCUUUUAUUUCUAUUUCCAAAAGCGUUCCAGCCUAGUUCUUCUGGAUUUUACUGUCCCCGAGAAGACGGCCGGGUGCUUUUAUGAGUCAGCUACAUCGCUCUCUAAACGAGAGCGUGCCACACAAACAUCCCUAUUAAAGUCCCCAUUUUAGGGGGAUUUUUACGACCAAAAUACAAUGCAUCAAACAGACACAGGCGAAAUAUCCCCUCGUAAGGUUCCAGUAUAAUUUCAUUUCUGUGUCUGUAAAAUCAUUUUUUUCCCUUUGUCCUAACUGCUAUUGCAGAGAGACAAAACAAAGCCUGAGCUCCGUCGGUGACGUUCGUUGGACCGCGCGUGUUAACAUCUGCUCCGACACGGACAACUGCCAAGGAACGUUUCGUGGGAAAGUUCAUCUUUAGGCACAAGCUACCUUUUAAAAGUUUGGGCAGGAAUUUGUGGGGAAAAAUACAUUUAAAUCCAUGCACGCAUUUGGCUUUUUCUUUGGCUUUGUGUUUUGCGGUUAUUAAAUAAUAUAUUUUUAUAUGUGUAUGACAGUUAAGAACAUUCAAACGUAACUUGCAGGUUUCACAAUGGCAACAGUUGACCCGGGAACUGAUCAUUGUUAUUUAUAGCUAUUGUUUCUUAUGGGAGGGUCAAAUCUCACUUCGGUUGUUUGCCUAAGUCUAGAAAUGCUCCGCUUGCCCUUGACUGUGUCGUUUUGCUACAUCGACCUAAAACGAAUCAUCCUACACGUUGCUAACUCACUGCCCGUACAUGUGUUAUUGACUGCAAAUGCUAAAUAACCCACCAUGGGGCCAAAGUUAUGAGUGUCAGCAAUUUGGUAAAAAAGGUGAGAAACACUAUUGAAUUCCAUCUCGCCAAGAUGUAUGGGAAAUCUGUGUCAAUAAUAUAUUCUAUCCAUUCAUCGUUUAGAAUGAUUUUGCAUCGUUUUCUGCACGUAAAACUGUCAUUAUGUUCUUUAAAAAAUGUAUUUUUGUUCAGAUUUUUGGGUGUCUGACAUGGAUUAAUUAGAUUUAAAUGGGAAAAAAUGCAUGUUUAUUUUCCCCAAGACAGCUUAGCAAGUAUUGAUCUACUUUAGCAUUUUUGUAGUGCCCCAG
Doryrhamphus excisus (bluestripe pipefish) is the source of this 2884-nucleotide non-coding RNA. NCBI's taxonomy places the organism in Eukaryota, Metazoa, Chordata, Actinopteri, Syngnathiformes, Syngnathidae. The record is from RefSeq and is a predicted model, not a curated record.